RNAcentral lists this long non-coding RNA (318 nucleotides) under Amborella trichopoda. RNAcentral describes it as "long non-coding RNA (ATRI_LNC002035)". Lineage: Eukaryota; Viridiplantae; Streptophyta; Magnoliopsida; Amborellales; Amborellaceae. The record is from RNAcentral.
GAAGGAGGUGGGAUCACCUCUGGGGACACAAAAAUGUAAUUAGGUCACUACCUUGCAGACCCAUAAGCAUUGAAGCAUGAAUUGAAGCAUGAAGGGUGUAUGAAUUAUGUAUGAAUGAAGUAUGAAUCUAAUAAUGUAUGAAGUAGGAAUUAGGCAUGAAUGAUAACAUGAAUUUAAGCAUUAGAUUGGGCAUGAGAUGGUGUAGAAAUUGUGUACAAAGAAUAGGAUAGCACGAAGAUUAUUGUGCUCUGUUUUUCCAGAAAUUUAGGUUUUCUUUAUAUGAGUUGUUAGGUAUUGUCAUCAUUCUUAUUAAGCAUG